This 294-nucleotide ribosomal RNA is filed under the name uncultured bacterium. Its description in RNAcentral is "partial 16S ribosomal RNA". It matches the Rfam family "Bacterial small subunit ribosomal RNA", at positions 775 to 1067 of the family's 1533-position model. The record is from RNAcentral.
GGAUUAGAUACCCUGGUAGUCCACGCCCUAAACGAUGAGUGCUAAGUAUUAGGCCUUAUGGCUUAGUGCUACACAGCUAACGCGUUAAGCACUCCGCCUGGGAAGUACGGUCGCAAGACUAAAACUCAAAGGAAUUGACGGGGACCUGCACAAGCGGUGGAACAUGUGGUUUAAUUCGAUGCUACGCGAAAAACCUUACCAGGUCUUGACAUGCUAGUCGUACGGCUAUGAAAGUAGCCGGUCAGUUUGGCUGGACUAGCACAGGUGUUGCAUGGCUGUCGUCAGCUCGUGUUG